This 253-nucleotide ribosomal RNA is filed under the name uncultured bacterium. RNAcentral describes it as "partial 16S ribosomal RNA". It matches the Rfam family "Bacterial small subunit ribosomal RNA", at positions 524 to 776 of the family's 1533-position model. The record is from RNAcentral.
UACGUAGGGUGCGAGCGUUAAUCGGAAUUACUGGGCGUAAAGUGUGCGCAGGCGGCCGCGCAAGUCGAGUGUGAAAGCCCCGAGCUUAACUUGGGAAUUGCGCUCGAAACUACGUGGCUGGAGUGUGGCAGAGGGAGGUGGAAUUCCACGUGUAGCGGUGAAAUGCGUAGAGAUGUGGAGGAACACCGAUGGCGAAGGCAGCCUUCUGGGCCAACACUGACGCUCAUGCACGAAAGCGUGGGGAGCAAACAGG